This 292-nucleotide ribosomal RNA is filed under the name uncultured bacterium. Its description in RNAcentral is "partial 16S ribosomal RNA". RNAcentral also lists the same sequence under 1 other name. The record is from RNAcentral.
GGACUACCGGGGUAUCUAAUCCUGUUUGCUCCCCACGCUUUCGCACAUGAGCGUCAGUAUUGGGCCAGGCAGUCGCUUUCGCCACUGAUGUUCCUUCCGAUAUCUACGCAUUUCACCGCUACACCGGAAAUUCCACUGCCCUCUCCCAUACUCUAGUAAUGCAGUCUCGAAUGCAGUUCCCAGGUUGAGCCCGGGGCUUUCACACCCGACUUACAAAACCGCCUACGCGCGCUUUACGCCCAGUAAUUCCGAUUAACGCUCGCACCCUCUGUAUUACCGCGGCUGCUGGCAC